AAGUGAGAUCAUGUGAAAUCCUCGG
This 25-nucleotide microRNA is filed under the name Caenorhabditis elegans. RNAcentral's name for it is "cel-miR-1021". Lineage: Eukaryota; Metazoa; Nematoda; Chromadorea; Rhabditida; Rhabditidae. The record is from miRBase by way of RNAcentral.